Molecule: long non-coding RNA, 2157 nt
Filed under: Triticum aestivum (bread wheat)
Lineage: Eukaryota; Viridiplantae; Streptophyta; Magnoliopsida; Poales; Poaceae
Description: long non-coding RNA (TAES_LNC021169)
Source: RNAcentral
AGCAUCUAGCUACUUGCAAUUUUUCUUCAGCUUGUAGUUUGGGUGCUGGCUAGAUGGUAAUUUUUUUGUCUAAGUUCUUCUAUUGUUUCCUUAUUUUCAGGGAUAUGCCAAUAUUCAAUCCCAAAGAAAGGUAUUUGUCUCCAACUAGUGUAGUUUCUUCAUGUUGUAUCCUUAAAUUGAAGCACAACUAAUUCUUUAGCUCAAGAGUUCAAUAUUUUUGUUGUAGGGAUCCAGGUGAGGCCUCACCUUGUAAGUCUGCUCUACCUGCUGUCAUCAAUGACGAUGAACUCCAUCAAAACAUACUAUAUUUUUCUCUGCAGAAUUCCUGUUUUGUGAGUCAACUUUGGUUCUAUGGCUUGAUGCCUUAUCAAACUCAUUGGAUUUUCCUUGCCCUUUUUUAGGGAAGCUAUGGGAGAAAGAAUUUGUUCUAGAAUAUAGGUUUGUACCACACUACAUGAUGUGCAAAUCUCACUGCAAAUAACUUGUAUUGUUCAGAAAAGUCCUUGUUCUAUUACUUAGAGUCAUACCUAUAGAGCUAGUGCUCCUCCGAACAUUCUUGUAAUGUUAGUACCUAAUGUAGAUCCUGGAGGUGCUGCUAAAAUUUCCUACUAGAGAUAGAAGAAAUGAUUUCUGGGAUUUCUGUUUGUUUAGAGUGCAUAUGUGACUUUCCUAUCAUCCAGGUAUGGAUUUAAAGUAGAUAUACGUAUACCUCAUGUUGGAGUUGAACUAAAUACUUGACAUACUUCUUGUAGAGUUUCCUAUCAAUUUUGAGCUGCUUGUGUGCCACCAUUGAUUUUCACAUAAAAAUUAUGAAAUUAUGUCAUUAAUUUUCAGGUAGAAAUUAUAUCACCAAAGGCAUCCCAGGCAUGCCACUUUGCACAGUUGAAAAAAGAUGAUAAUCUUUUAGUGCUCAACAAAUGUAUUGAUCAAUUUCCACAAUUAGUAAUGCAAAUUAGCGGCUACUUCACUGUUCUUGUUUCCUUUUGCAAUCUGCAAGGAACUCAAAAGACAGUUGUACAUUUGCUCACCUGCAUCAUGGCCCAUAUAUUGUUUGGGCAAUGUAGAAUGUCAGAACUUGCAGUUUUUGUACAGGUUUGGAUAGAAAUUCAUCAAUACAUUUUUUGAGGACUAAAAUCUUAUCAAUCAAUUAGAUGCUGAAUUUUGUAAUUCAGGAAUAGAUGACCCUCUCCAUGCAAAAUAAAGUGUAGUUAGCUCUCAUAUGAACGUGUUUCUAUAUCUUCUGCCUCUGUUAUGCAUGGAUCUAACUAGAAGCUUCAAUUAGUUGACAGGCCAUUGUCUUCAGUUUGAGAUUCAUGAUGUUACUACUUGUUCUAUACAGAUAAAAGAAAUUUAUGUGUAUAUGGGUAUAUCCAGUUUUUACCUUAAAUAUUACGCCCUCCAUUCCUAAAUAUAAGCCUUUUUAGAUUCCAAUAUGGACUACAUAAAUCUCGAAAAAGACUUAUAUUUAGAAACGGAGGGAGUAGGUUUCUUUUCAACCAUAGAUGUUGGUACUAGAAUAAUUCUUAUUUCCAUUUUUCUGGUUGGGUUGUUGUCUUUAGAAUACCAUUUUCUGCCUAGAAUGUUUUCACUAAAGGAAAUUUUAAUGGAAAACACCACAGUUUCAUUUCUUACUCCAGUUAUCUAUGUGUUGAUUUCUUGCUUGAAACUGUUGGGCAUUCAUAUUACCAAAGCUUCAGAUGUUUGACCCAUCAACAUUGUGCUAUAGGGGUUUCAUGCAUGUUACUUAGCAUAAGAUGAGAUGAGCACCCUUUCAUUUUAGGUGCUAACUAAAUAAAGUGAUUCAGUAUGAACUAAUAUAGUGCAUGGGGGUUCUACAGAUGCAGCAGCAUCAAGGACUAUGCUGGGAAGAAGCACAUGGUGUUGUAUUGCGGUAAUGCCGGGAUCAUGCAUGUCACCUAUGAGAACAAGCACAACCACAAGCACGUGCAGUAGCUCAACCUGUCGAUGAUCGCCGCGAAUUCAGAAGCCCAACUGAAGCUGCCAGUGCCAUAAGAAGUUGAAGAACUCUAAAUUUUUUACGCCAUGAAUUGAACAUGUCAUUCAGCUCUUCUUUGGUGAUUCACUCUGACAAAUAGCAAAAAUUGUAACAAUAAGGCAAAGAUUUCACUGUAAUCUUUUUCAUGAUGUAUAGUGAAU